GCUGGAGACCCAGUUGCUGUUUCGAGGGAGGGAGGGAACCGAGGGUGCGCGUGUGAAAGCUCCGCCCCCAGCCCUCGCUCCUCCUUCUCGCUUCAGCAGGUCCUGGCUCUGCGCCAGUGCAUCCUUCUGCAAGAGUGCGCUGCCUGGGCCCGCUUGCUCUGGGGUUAACUUCAGUAGUCAACGGAGAGGAGUGAAAACCUUACUGGAUGCGGACAGGAGAGCCAGUUACUGAAGGCAAAUAUAAUAACGCGGAUCCUGUAAAGAGUGAAAGGAGGAGACCACUUUUAGUUGCCUCCCUGCUAGCACCCUGACUUGCAUUGCUUGAGUAAGAAUCCAAGGACACAAGCUAAGACAUUUGCACUGAGUUUAGAUCUACUGCGAUUCAGAAAACACAAAAGAACUUGCAAUCAGAGGGUGACACAUAAUGAUUUUAGACAAAACUCAGUUUCUUCUUGUGGAAGCUAUUCAGAUUGGAGAGUGGGAGGAAAAAGGAGUGAAGCAUCGCUUAACAACAAAAGUAAUAAUGCAGGCAGAAUAUUAAAUGGAGAAGACAGACUUGCAACACAUAGAAAAGAAAGCUACUUCAGAAUGUUGAGAGACUUGGGAGCUGAUUGAUUGAAGGUGACACUUAGAAGGUUGCCCUUUUUAAAGAUAAAGGCUGAUACUGUGACUCUGUCCCAGGGGACCUGAGUAAAGAACUCAUCAGAGAUGUGGGACCACUAUUCAGAACAAGAUUUGGAGAGCUGGGGCAGAGAAGAUUUUACCUUGGGGAUUUCUUCAGCUGCGAGUAGUAAAUUGGUUAUGCCUUAAUGAGUGAAGUUUGUCAAAUUUUAAGAUAGGAUGUUAUUAUGCCUUUUAAAAGAAUGAGGUAGAGUAUAACAUCUGAUUUGGAGUUCUUUCCAGCAUUUUAAGGUCUUUAAAGAAAACAAAUUAGAGAAAAAUAAAUAAAUAUAGAUCAUGCUGUACAUA
Molecule: long non-coding RNA, 969 nt
Organism: Pongo pygmaeus (Bornean orangutan)
Lineage: Eukaryota; Metazoa; Chordata; Mammalia; Primates; Hominidae
Exons: 4
Source: RefSeq, a predicted model, not a curated record